RNAcentral lists this ribosomal RNA (506 nucleotides) under uncultured bacterium. Its description in RNAcentral is "partial 16S ribosomal RNA". It matches the Rfam family "Bacterial small subunit ribosomal RNA", at positions 29 to 523 of the family's 1533-position model. The record is from RNAcentral.
AGUGAACGCUGGCGGUAGGCCUAACACAUGCAAGUCGAACGGCAGCACAGAGGAGCUUGCUCCCUGGGUGGCGAGUGGCGGACGGGUGAGGAAUACAUCGGAAUCUACUCUGUCGUGGGGGAUAACGUAGGGAAACUUACGCUAAUACCGCAUACGACCUACGGGUGAAAGCAGGGGAUCUUCGGACCUUGCGCGAUUGAAUGAGCCGAUGUCGGAUUAGCUAGUUGGCGGGGUAAAGGCCCACCAAGGCGACGAUCCGUAGCUGGUCUGAGAGGAUGAUCAGCCACACUGGAACUGAGACACGGUCCAGACUCCUACGGGAGGCAGCAGUGGGGAAUAUUGGACAAUGGGCGCAAGCCUGAUCCAGCCAUACCGCGUGGGUGAAGAAGGCCUUCGGAUUGUAAAGCCCUUUUGUUGGGAAAGAAAUCCAUCUGGUUAAUACCCGGGUGGGAUGACGGUGCCCAAAGAAUAAGCACCGGCUAACUUCGUGCCAGCCGCCGCCGUAA